RNAcentral lists this ribosomal RNA (524 nucleotides) under uncultured bacterium. RNAcentral describes it as "partial 16S ribosomal RNA". It matches the Rfam family "Bacterial small subunit ribosomal RNA", at positions 28 to 523 of the family's 1533-position model. The record is from RNAcentral.
GACGAACGCUGGCGGCGUGCCUAAUACAUGCAAGUCGAACGAAGCUGUUUUAACUGGUGCUUGCACCGACUUAAACAACUGAGUGGCGAACGGGUGAGUAACACGUGGGUAACCUGCCCCAAAGCGGGGGAUAACAUUUGGAAACAGAUUCUAAUACCGCAUAAUCACAGAAACCACACGGUUUCUGUGUCAAAGAUGGUUUCGGCUAUCACUUUGGGAUGGACCCGCGGCGUAUUAGCUAGUUGGUUAGGUAAUGGCUUACCAAGGCAAUGAUACGUAGCCGAACUGAGAGGUUGAUCGGCCACAUUGGGACUGAGACACGGCCCAAACUCCGACGGGAGGCAGCAGUAGGGAAUCUUCAACAAUGGACGAAAGUCUGAUGGAGCAACGCCGCGUGAGUGAAGAAGGUUUUCGGAUCGUAAAACUCUGUUGUCAGAGAAGAACGUGUGCGAGAGUAACUGUUCGCGCAGUGACGGUAUCUGGCCAGAAAGCCACGGCUAACUACGUGCCAGCCGCCGCGGUAA